Molecule: ribosomal RNA, 1117 nt
Filed under: uncultured bacterium
Lineage: Bacteria
Description: bacterial SSU rRNA
Rfam family: Bacterial small subunit ribosomal RNA
Source: RNAcentral
GGGAGGCAGCAGUAAGGAAUAUUGGUCAAUGGACGAAGUCUGAACCAGCAUGCUGCGUGCAGAGACGACCCUAUGGGUUGUAAACUGCUUUGCAGGGGAAUAAACCUCAUUACGUGUAAUGAGCUGAAUGUACUCUGAGAAUAAGGAUCGGCUAACUCCGUGCCAGCAGCCGCGGUAAUACGGAGGAUCAAGCGUUAUCCGGAUUUAUUGGGUUUAAAGGGUGCGCAGGUGGCCUGUUAAGUCAGGGGUGAAAGACGGUAGCUCAACUAUCGCAGUGCCCUUGAUACUGAUGGGCUUGAAUGAACUAGAGGUAGGCGGAAUGUGACAAGUAGCGGUGAAAUGCAUAGAUAUGUCACAGAACACCAAUUGCGAAGGCAGCUUACUAUGGUUUUAUUGACACUGAGGCACGAAAGCGUGGGGAUCAAACAGGAUUAGAUACCCUGGUAGUCCACGCCCUAAACGAUGAAUACUCGAUGUUGGCGAUAUACGGUCAGCGUCUAAGCGAAAGCGUUAAGUAUUCCACCUGGGGAGUACGCCCGCAAGGGUGAAACUCAAAGGAAUUGACGGAGGCCCGCACAAGCGGAGGAGCAUGUGGUUUAAUUCGAUGAUACGCGAGGAACCUUACCCGGGCUUGAAAGUUAGUGAAUAAAGCAGAGACGCUUUAGUCCUUCGGGACACGAAACUAGGUGCUGCAUGGCUGUCGUCAGCUCGUGCCGUGAGGUGUUGGGUUAAGUCCCGCAACGAGCGCAACCCCUAUGUUUAGUUGCCAGCACGUUAAGGUGGGGACUCUAAACAGACUGCCUAUGCAAAUAGAGAGGAAGGAGGGGACGACGUCAAGUCAUCAUGGCCCUUACGUCCGGGGCUACACACGUGCUACAAUGGAUGGUACAGAGGGCAGCUACCUGGCAACAGGAUGCCAAUCUCACAAAGCCAUUCACAGUUCGGAUCGGGGUCUGCAACUCGACCCCGUGAAGUUGGAUUCGCUAGUAAUCGCAGAUCAGCAAUGCUGCGGUGAAUACGUUCCCGGGCCUUGUACACACCGCCCGUGCAAGCCAUGGAAGCUGGAAGUGCCUGAAGUGCGUAACCGCAAGGAGCGUCCUAGGUAAAGUACGAUGUC